Molecule: unclassified non-coding RNA, 2873 nt
Filed under: Hevea brasiliensis (rubber tree)
Lineage: Eukaryota; Viridiplantae; Streptophyta; Magnoliopsida; Malpighiales; Euphorbiaceae
Source: RNAcentral
AGAGUAAUCCAAAACUUGCAAAUUCAUCAAACUCUCUCAAUAGUCAAUAGCAUCAUUACACAUAGAAAUCCUACUCUCGCCGGGCCGGAAACUGUUGCCGGAGAUCACCAAGCUUUCUUCGGUGACAAGAACAACUGGAAGAUCAUUCUACUUUCUGGAAAUACUUAAGAAAUGGAGAUGGAACAAGAGUUAGAGUGGCUUGAAGCGCAGAAGAUAGCGAUAAGUGUGGACCUUUUGGCUGCAGCCAAGCAGCAGCUUCAGUUUCUUGCAGCUGUUAAUAAGAAUCGUUGGCUCUAUGAAGGCCCUACUCUUGAAUGGGCCAUCUAUAGGUACAAUGCUUGUUGGCUUCCCUUGCUUGCCAAACACUCUGAGUCACCAGUUUCUGAAGGGCCACUGGUUGUGCCUCUUGAUAGCGAGUGGGUUUGGCAUUGCCAUAGGCUGAAUCCAGUAAGGUACAAAACUGAUUGUGAGGAACUUUUUGGAAGGAUACUGGACAAUUCUAAUGUUGCAUCUUCUGUUAAAGGAGUCUGCAGAAAGCAAACUCAAGAAAUUUGGAAAAAGUUGUAUCCAGAUGAGCCUUAUGACUUUGACUUGACCAGAGCCUUAUCUGCAGCUACCAAUGAAAAACUUUUGGCAACUGAAAAAUGCACCAAAUAUGAUUUGGUUUCAGCAGUUAAAAGGCAGAGUCCUUUCUAUUAUCAGGUGUGCAGACCUCAUAUGAACUAUGAUAUUUUUCUUGAAGAAGCUGUGGCCAGAUAUAAGGGGUUUUUGCAUCUAAUUAAGAGAAAUAAGGAACGAUCCAUAAACCGCUUUUGUGUUCCAACUUAUGACAUUGAUCUUAUCUGGCACACACACCAGCUGCAUCCUAUUUCUUAUUGUAAAGAUUUGAUUGAAGCACUUGGCAAGAUAUUAGAGCAUGAUGACAUGGAUUCGGACAGGACUAAAGGAAAGAAGCUAGAUGUUGGGUUUUCUGGAACUAACAAGCAGUGGGAAGAGACAUUUGGGACAAGGUAUUGGAAGGCAGGUGCAAUGUAUAGAGGCAGGGAACCAUCUCCUCUCACAAGAGUUCCAUUCCUGCCAACUCUCUUGAGAAAAGAUGUACUAGCAUCACAUGAAUGUCAAAAGAUGAUUCAACUUCCAGAAGUGAAAAUUGUGGAGGUCCUUUUGGAGAUUGUGGGAGUUAAAAACUUACCAGAGGGGCACAAGGGAUGCCUUCUUGUCAGAUUUAGUAAAAAGCAGCCUGAUGUAUUCUUCAAUGCUAAGCAGAAAAUAACUAUUCUGUCAGAAUCUGAAGAAAAACAGGUUGCUUCUUUCCAGUGUGAACCUAAGGGAGAGCUGUUCUUUGAACUUAUUUCACAUUCAUCUUCCAACUUACUAGUAAACAAGGCAUUUAGAACAAUGGGUACUGCUUCAUUAUCUUUGCAAGACUAUCUGAAUCCAGUUUCUAAACUUUCAAUUGAAAAAUGGGUGGAAUUGCAGCCCAGUUCUGGCAAUUUGAGCUCAAAGCCGAUCUGCCUACGAAUUGCUGUCUCAUUGACUGUUCCCAUCCAAUCACCAUAUGUACUUCACAUGGUUCGUUCAAAAUCACUUUCAAAAACUUGUUUUUUCCCUCUUUCUGGAAGGGUUCAACAUGCUAAAGUUUGGACACACAUCACUGAUGAAAAUGAUGCGGAGGUCAUCAGCCUGCAAAUGAGGGACUCGACAGUGGCAAAGACAACCGACAAGAGCAUGCUUAAGAAGCAAGUAGUUGGUUCUAUGAAAUCUGGUGAGAUACGUGUACUGGCAGAGUUUACGAGGACUCAUUGGUCAUUAAUGGAUUCUCAGUGGUGCCUUCAGUUUAAAACAAAAUCUGAUGAAGAUGGUCAUUACUGUGAUCUCAUUGGCAGCAGGACGGUAAUCAUCUUUUGCCUAUCACCUGUUUUCUUUUAGAAUCAUUUUCUGUGUAUUAUAAAGUAUUCUUAUUCAUAAAUGAGCUUUUUGAUUACAGUUAAUUUUGUCCAUUUGGUUGUAAAUCAUGCUUGUUACUUUAUAUCAUGAAAAUCUCUCCAAGUAGGUUGUUCAAUUGACCCAGAAGCUUGAGAUUUGCAUAUUACAUUGCAUAGUUUUCUCCUCAACGUUGAUAAGGUUUGCAUUUUCUGAUUGUCACCUUAAUUGAUUUGGCUUAUGCACACCUCUACAACUUUGCUUAAUUAUUUUUUUAACUUUCUUUGGCUAUAGAUUCUUUUAUCGUUUCAGUUCAGGUGCCCAGCAGAUCAUUCAUUAUAUCUAUUUUCUUGGUACAGAUAAAAGUUUUUCAUGGCAGAAAGCUGGAUUUUGAGCCCAAACGCUGUGAGAAGCAAAGAAAUGAACAAGAUUUUGUCACCGCGGUUGAAUUUUCUGCAGAGGAUCCAUAUGGUAAAGCAGUGGCAUUGCUCGACUUGAAGUCUGGGUCUGUCAAGGUGAAAGAAGAAUGGUUGGUGUUGCCUGCAAUCAUUUCAGCUUUUAUACUUGCUGAUAUUUUGAAAAAUAAAGGGAAUAGGGGCUUCAUUAUUAACAGUGAAAAUUUGGAGUUGGAUGGUAAUGUUGAAGAGGUCAGUGGGUUAAAUGAAGAAACCAAACAAAAGACUACCGCAAAAAGCAAAGAGGAGGUGAAUGUGGAUGACAUAAAGAGUGGAGGCUGUGGAGGUGGUUGCGGUGGUGCAUGUGGAAACAUGGAAAGAAAAGUGGAGUUGAAUGUGGAUGAAAUAAAGAGUGGAGGCUGUGGUGGUGGUUGUGGUGGUGGAUGUGGAAACAUGGUAAAAAGUGGGAGCUGUGGGGGUGGCUGUGGUGGCUGUGGCGGCGGUUGUGGUGGGGGAUGUGGAAGUAUGGUAAAGAGUGGUGGCUGUGGUAGUGGA